CAACAGGGAUUGCCCUAGUAACGGCGAGUGAAGCGGCAACAGCUCAAAUUUGAAAUCUGGCUCUCGGGCCCGAGUUGUAAUUUGUAGAGGAUGCUUUUGGUGCGGUGCCUUCCGAGUUCCCUGGAACGGGACGCCAUAGAGGGUGAGAGCCCCGUCUGGUCGGACACCAAUCCUCUGUAAAGCUCCUUCGACGAGUCGAGUAGUUUGGGAAUGCUGCUCUAAAUGGGAGGUAUAUGUCUUCUAAAGCUAAAUAUAGGCCAGAGACCGAUAGCGCACAAGUAGAGUGAUCGAAAGAUGAAAAGCACUUUGAAAAGAGAGUUAAAAAGUACGUGAAAUUGUUGAAAGGGAAGCGCUUGUGACCAGACUUGGGGCCGGUGAAUCAUCCAGCGUUCUCGCUGGUGCACUUCGCCGGCUCAGGCCAGCAUCAGUUUGCCCCGGGGGACAAAGGCUUCGGGAAUGUGGCUCCUCCGGGAGUGUUAUAGCCCGUCGCGUAAUACCCUGGGGCGGACUGAGGUUCGCGCAUCUGCAUGGAU
This 533-nucleotide ribosomal RNA is filed under the name Fusarium ventricosum. Its description in RNAcentral is "eukaryotic LSU rRNA". It matches the Rfam family "Eukaryotic large subunit ribosomal RNA", at positions 66 to 624 of the family's 3401-position model. Lineage: Eukaryota; Fungi; Ascomycota; Sordariomycetes; Hypocreales; Nectriaceae. The record is from RNAcentral.